This 384-nucleotide ribosomal RNA is filed under the name uncultured bacterium. RNAcentral's name for it is "bacterial SSU rRNA". It matches the Rfam family "Bacterial small subunit ribosomal RNA", at positions 32 to 409 of the family's 1533-position model. The record is from RNAcentral.
AAUCAACGCUGGCGGCGUGCCUCAGACAUGCAAGUCGAACGAUUAAAGCUCUCUUCGGAGAGUGUAUAGAGUGGCGCACGGGUGAGUAACACGUAAGUAAUCUACCCUCGAGUGGGGAAUAACGUCCGGAAACGGACGCUAAUACCGCAUAAUGCAGCGGCACCGCAAGGUGACAGUUGUUAAAGAUUUAUCGCUUGAGGAGGAGCUUGCGGCAGAUUAGCUAGUGGUAAGGUAAUGGCUUACCAAGGCUACGAUCUGUAACCGGUCUAAGAGGACGGUCGGUCACACUGACACUGAAUAACGGGUCAGACUCCUACGGGAGGCAGCAGUCGGGAAUUUUGGGCAAUGGGCGAAAGCCUGACCCAGCAACGCCGCGUGAAGGAU